CUGAUGGAUGGACCCGCGGUGCAUUAGCUAGUUGGUGAGGUAACGGCUCACCAAGGCCACGAUGCAUAGCCGACCUGAGAGGGUGAUCGGCCACAUUGGGACUGAGACACGGCCCAAACUCCUACGGGAGGCAGCAGUAGGGAAUCUUCGGCAAUGGACGAAAGUCUGACCGAGCAACGCCGCGUGAGUGAAGAAGGUUUUCGGAUCGUAAAACUCUGUUGUUAGAGAAGAACAAGGAUGAGAGUAACUGUUCAUCCCUUGACGGUAUCUAACCAGAAAGCCACGGCUAACUACGUGCCAGCAGCCGCGGUAAUACGUAGGUGGCAAGCGUUGUCCGGAUUUAUUGGGCGUAAAGCGAGCGCAGGCGGUUUCUUAAGUCUGAUGUGAAAGCCCCCGGCUCAACCGGGGAGGGUCAUUGGAAACUGGGAGACUUGAGUGCAGAAGAGGAGAGUGGAAUUCCAUGUGUAGCGGUGAAAUGCGUAGAUAUAUGGAGGAACACCAGUGGCGAAGGCGGCUCUCUGGUCUGUAACUGACGCUGAGGCUCGAAAGCGUGGGGAGCAAACAGGAUUAGAUACCCUGGUAGUCCACGCCGUAAACGAUGAGUGCUAAGUGUUGGAGGGUUUCCGCCCUUCAGUGCUGCAGCUAACGCAUUAAGCACUCCGCCUGGGGAGUACGACCGCAAGGUUGAAACUCAAAGGAAUUGACGGGGGCCCGCACAAGCGGUGGAGCAUGUGGUUUAAUUCGAAGCAACGCGAAGAACCUUACCAGGUCUUGACAUCCUUUGACCACUCUAGAGAUAGAGCUUCCCCUUCGGGGGCAAAGUGACAGGUGGUGCAUGGUUGUCGUCAGCUCGUGUCGUGAGAUGUUGGGUUAAGUCCCGCAACGAGCGCAACCCUUAUUGUUAGUUGCCAUCAUUCAGUUGGGCACUCUAGCAAGACUGCCGGUGACAAACCGGAGGAAGGUGGGGAUGACGUCAAAUCAUCAUGCCCCUUAUGACCUGGGCUACACACGUGCUACAAUGGGAAGUACAACGAGUUGCGAAGUCGCGAGGCUAAGCUAAUCUCUUAAAGCUUCUCUCAGUUCGGAUUGCAGGCUGCAACUCGCCUGCAUGAAGCCGGAAUCGCUAGUAAUCGCGGAUCAGCACGCCGCGGUGAAUACGUUCCCGGGCCUUGUACACACCGCCCGUCACACCACGAGAGUUUGUAACACCCGAAGUCGGUGAGGUAACCUUUUGGAGCCAGCCGCCUAAGGUGGGAUAGAUGAUUGGGGUGAAGUCGUAACAAGGUAGCCGUAUCGGAAGGUGCGGCUGGAUCACCUCCUUU
Molecule: ribosomal RNA, 1322 nt
Filed under: Staphylococcus aureus
Lineage: Bacteria; Bacillati; Bacillota; Bacilli; Caryophanales; Staphylococcaceae
Also listed under: 1 other name
Description: partial 16S ribosomal RNA
Rfam family: Bacterial small subunit ribosomal RNA
Source: RNAcentral